This 406-nucleotide ribosomal RNA is filed under the name uncultured bacterium. RNAcentral describes it as "partial 16S ribosomal RNA". It matches the Rfam family "Bacterial small subunit ribosomal RNA", at positions 30 to 526 of the family's 1533-position model. The record is from RNAcentral.
AUUGAACGCUGGCGGCAUGCCUAACACAUGCAAGUCGAGCGUGCGGCGGACGGGUGAGUAAUGUCUGGGAAACUGCCUGUUGCCUGGGGAUCACUACUGGAUACGGUAUCUAAUACCGCAUUCCAUCCGAUUUGCCCAGUUGGGAUUAGCUGGUAGGUGGGGUAACGGCUCACCUAGGCGACGAUCCCUAGCUGGGCUGAGAGGUUGACCAGCCACACUGGAACUGAGACACGGUCCAGACUCCUACGGGAGGCAGCAGUGGGGAAUAUUGCACAAUGGGCGCAAGCCUGAUGCAGCCAUGCCGCGUGUGGGAAGAAGGCCUUCGGGUUGUAAAGCACUGUCAGCUGGGAGGCGUUACCCGCAGAAGAAGCAACGGCUAACUCCGUGCCAGCAGCCGCGGUAAUUC